AUCCCACAAGUAACACAUGGCCGUGGGGACAGAAUGGAGCUAAAAGGACACCAAGGGAAGCAGAAGGAGAUAGAGGGAGAUUGGAGGGAGGGCCUUCGGACUUUGUCAUCAGUCAUGCCACUGACGUCACCUGCUCACACAAAGCACAGUCAAUCCGGUCCAUGUACGGAUCUGGUAAUUGGAUUUUCCGUUCUGAAACGGGUAUUGAAAAACAAAAAUGAGUGGUUAUUUGAUUUUCGUUUUAAAAUACAAAAAUUAAAAUUGAAAUACAAGGCGUUUUUCCUUUUCAUGAUCAAAAAGGGAUAUACGAUUUUUUUUUAAAUGCUUUGAUUUUUGUUUUAUAUUUAGAAUAACAAGAAAGUAAAAUCAGAGACAGAAACGAAAAAAGGUCCGUUUUUUCAUUUUCUGAGACCGGAAGUGGUCAUCAGCUAGUGUGGAGCUAAACGACAAGAUUCUCAGAGGGCGGAGCCAGACAGCAGUGGUUGGUCAGACCAUAGAUAAUAUAGAAGACAGCGCGCUAGCGUAUCUAGUGUUGUAUGUAACUAUGGUCGGAAGGUCUGGCAGCAUCUCUGGCUGCUGUUGACCUUGUUUUUGGAGUAAAACACGGUGGAAGCUGAAUUAGUGAGGAUGACUCCUGCUCCUGUCAUCUCUAAGCUCCUCACACAUCUUUACCUGCACAUGAGGAAAAUCACUCCUGUAGAAUGCAGAUGUUCAGAGGGAGAUGAUGCCACAUCUGGUCCAGCUGAUGGAAGGUCUUGAAGUUCUCUGACUGGCCUCGACUGAAGAUGGUCGUCUCACUGGAUUUAAGGUUCAGAUGCUCAGUAACAAACUCCACCAAUGAGCCAACAGGGAAGCUUUAGGUUUAUUAAAUGUUGCUAUGAAGGUAUCACUGUUUUAUUUUGUGAAUGCAAUGUGCUCCAACUGAAACUUGAAUUAGAACUUAGAAGUAAAUCCUUCCAUCUGAAAGGAUUUAGUUGCAUUAAUAACCUCAUAACAUUCAAAUUUUUAUUCCAGUCUUGGUUGGAAAUAGAAUCUCUGUAUUGAUUCAGGUAAGAACUGAACUUCACAGCAUGUUGGAGCAAAACAACCAGAUGAAAACUGUGAUGGUGUUGGAUUGUCAGACUGUAAUGUUGCAGCUCAAAGCAGCUUUUCUAGCUCAGUUCAUUCUGACAUUCAGCUAUGAAUCAACACAGCAGAUGGUGAUCCAUGCUGUGGAAGUCUCACAUCUCCUGAUUUAAUGGAGCUGCUUGGCACUUUUUACACUGUUUAUUCACCAACACUUUAUUUAAUAAAAGUCCCAUCUAGUUUUUAUGAGGAAUGUGAUGUUUUAAUUCUCUGUGAAUAACUGCAGUCUAAUGCAACAGCUGGAGUUGUAACAUCUGUCCUGAUAUUGAUCAUGAAGUAUUGAUCAGAAUACUUAUGGUCAGCAGUCAUCCCUGAAGUUUUACAUUAAAAUCUUUACUUGUGUUGUGAACUUUGGUAAGAAGCAGAAACGUUAGCGUUGCCAUGGAUAUAUGAGUGUUUAAUUCUGUCCAUGUUUCCAUUUUGGGAAAUGCAGUCCAGUUCCAGAAUGUGGAGGAAUUUAGUCUCACAAUCACAGACAACAAAUAUUAUCUGAAAGUCGGGUUAUUGUUGUUUAUCAGCACAAUACAAAAAGAUUAAUGUUAGAAAUAUUCCAGUUAAGACUCUAGAAUAUCAUGAUUUAUGUAAAUUUACCUCAAUAAUAUGAAUGUUCAGGUUAAGACUGUGCAGUGAUAUUAUGUAAGUUUAGCUGAUUAAAGUUUAUGACUCUGCACUAAAAUAUUAUUUAAAUUGACAUCAUUAUUAUAAUAUUUAGGGUCAGACCCUACAGUAUUGAGAUUAAGAAAUCAAAUAUUCUAUAAAAUGUAAAUACACUGAACUCAUUUGGAUAUAUUUUAGUGAGACUCUACAAUAUUAUUUGACACAAAUCUAUCUAAAUCAAAGUUUUAAUAAUUUUCACGCCAAACAUUUCCUGGACUGAUUUAAAUAUUAAAAUCACUCCUUUCUAAUCCUCUGCUGUGUGUUCAAACCUGAGGCCUUAAAUAGAAACACACAAGUAUCUGUUUGAAGGAACUUCUGUAGAGUCCUGGUUCCAGAACAUGAUGAUAGAAUUAUAGACAAACUUUAACAAAAGCUGCCUGAGAGUUUACAGGUUUUUAUGUUAGAUUUUGUUCAGUAGUUUAAUGAGUUAUCAGCAAAAAUCUAAUGUUGAUUUGAUGAACUUCAUUUCCUAAAACAUCCAGAAUUGGCGCUCAUAUCUUUGGCAGCUGUAAAGUUUCUGCUCCUUCAAAGUUGACAACACAAUGAAUGAAUUCCUAAAACACUCUCAAUGCUGGAGAGCGUUUGUGAUGCUGAAGCAGUGAUCAGUUUUUCAGUUUCUUCUCUGGAGAUGCACAAUGAGGGACGUCUGCAGCGACUGAGAAAGAGUCUCACCGCAUCCUGACAUGAGGAAAAAGACUUUAUUGAAGACUACAAUGAGAAAAACUAUCAGACAGCAGACGGCUGCAUUCAAGUCUGUAGCUGCUGAAUUCAUGGAUGAAUCAUCUGGCACUAGAGAAGAAGACCAUCAAACAUCCAUGUCAGCUGAUGGAGGUCCAAGAGUCUCACCAAACAACCUACAGAGUGAAGACCUCAAAUCUGAUUGGACGGCCUCCUACUCAGCCACGUGUGAACAAAUGCCUCUAAGUUGAUUUGUUUUCUAAAAUAAAUCUAGUUUGAGUCCUAAUCUAUGCCUGUGUGUUUGCUUCUUUACACCGCUGUUAACAGUUUAGGCUGUUAGAUUGUUCCAGAUAAGACAAGUACAAGAUACUUCAGAGCCGUUCUACCAAGAGCCUGACAGGAAGAACUCCAACAGCUACUGAAUGUUCCUGUGGUCCCCUCAAGGCUACAGAAGGAGCCCUACGAGGACGAGCCGGUCCACCUGAUGGCGGCCAGUCGCUGCGGUUCAAAGCCAACACCGACUACGUGGACUUCUACUGGACCACACGGAGGCCUUCAAACCGGACCAACAAGUUCAGCGACUCCCCGACUCGUGGGUCUGAGGACGCCGCCGAGCCUCGGCCCAGCCGACCUCCUGUCUGUGGGUGUUUGAGUGCUGAGAGGUUUGUGGAUGCAUGUGAACGUAUCUGUGUUGAAACAGCAGCUUUUGACUCACUAACGCCGGGAAAAACCAAGAGUUCCUUUAUUUGUGACUUCCACUAAAAAAACUGAUGAAAAUAAGUUUGCCAGGGUUCUGACUGAUAAGAGAUUAUUAAAUAAUGAAAAUAACAGUUUAAAUAUUCCUUUAAACAACUACAUUUCCUUACACUGACUUCUUGGUAUAUGUACAAGUAUUUUGGGUGGACUAUACCAAUAAGCCCAAUGUUCAAAGGUUCUUCUGGGAAUAUACCAUUAAACCAACCUUUUAGGUAAAUGUUCCAGGAUGUUGUGUAGAAUAUACCAUCAGAUCAACCUCCAAGGUCUACAGUAGUGAAUUUUAGGUGGAAUAUACCAUUAAACUCA
Molecule: long non-coding RNA, 3522 nt
Organism: Amphiprion ocellaris (clown anemonefish)
Lineage: Eukaryota; Metazoa; Chordata; Actinopteri; Pomacentridae
Exons: 4
Source: RefSeq, a predicted model, not a curated record